This 23-nucleotide microRNA is filed under the name Drosophila melanogaster (fruit fly). Its description in RNAcentral is "dme-miR-1017-3p". Lineage: Eukaryota; Metazoa; Arthropoda; Insecta; Diptera; Drosophilidae. The record is from miRBase by way of RNAcentral.
GAAAGCUCUACCCAAACUCAUCC